AUACAGAGGGUGCAAGCGUUAUUCGGAACUACUGGGCGUAAAGCGCGCGUAGACGGAUGAUUAAGUCAGUUGUGAAAGCCCUGGGCUCAACCUAGGAACUGCAUCUGAUACUGGUCGUCUAGAGUUUAAGAGAGGGAAGUGGAAUUCCAGGUGUAGCAGUGAAAUGCGUAGAUAUCUGGAGGAACAUCAGUGGCGAAGGCGACUUCCUGGCUUAAAACUGACGCUGAGGUGCGAAAGCGUGGGUAGCGAACGGGAUUAGAAACCCCUGUAGUCC
This 274-nucleotide ribosomal RNA is filed under the name uncultured bacterium. RNAcentral describes it as "partial 16S ribosomal RNA". It matches the Rfam family "Bacterial small subunit ribosomal RNA", at positions 523 to 796 of the family's 1533-position model. The record is from RNAcentral.